This 465-nucleotide ribosomal RNA is filed under the name uncultured bacterium. Its description in RNAcentral is "partial 16S ribosomal RNA". It matches the Rfam family "Bacterial small subunit ribosomal RNA", at positions 338 to 795 of the family's 1533-position model. The record is from RNAcentral.
CCUACGGGUGGCAGCAGUAGGGAAUCUUCCACAAUGGGCGAAAGCCUGAUGGCGCAACGCCGCGUGGGUGCAGAAGGUCUUCGGAUCGUAAAACCCUGUUGUUCGAGAAGAAAGUGCGUGAGAGUAACUGUUCACGUUUCGACGGUAUCUAACCAGCAAGCCACGGCUAACUACGUGCCAGCAGCCGCGGUAAUACGUAGGUGGCAAGCGUUAUCCGGAUUUAUUGGGCGUAAAGGGACAGCAGGCGGUCUUUUAAGUGUGAUGGGAAAGCCUUCGGCUUAACCGGAGUAGUGCAUUGGAAACUGGGAGACGUGAGUGCAAAAGAGGAGAGGGGAACUCCAUGUGUAGCGGUGAAAUGCGUAGAUAUAUGGAAGAACACCAGUGGCGAAAGCGGCUCUCUGGUCUGUAACUGAUGCUGAGGUUCGAAAGCGUGGGUAGCAAACAGGAUUAGAUACCCUAGUAGUC